ACCAGGGUGGCGUAGUGGUCAGCACUUCUGCCUAGUGAGCAGGAGACUCGGGUUCGAAUUCCGACCUUGGCA
This is a non-coding RNA of Schistocerca nitens (vagrant locust), 72 nucleotides long. The record is from the annotation of a RefSeq genome assembly. Lineage: Eukaryota; Metazoa; Arthropoda; Insecta; Orthoptera; Acrididae.